GAAAAAGAAAAUAUUAAAAAAAUUAUGUGGGGCGGGGUGCGCGGAUUGAAAAUGAAAAGAGUUGUUAUGCGGGGCGGGGCGGAUUAAAAUUUUUGGGGCUUAAGCUCAACCCGUACCGCCCCCGCCCUACACCGCCCCAUUGCCAUCCCUAUUUUUACUUCUAAGAAAACUCUAAACGAAUUUCUUGACUAAUUAAAGGCUCAAAAUAAUCAGAUUUGCAUCUCUUAAUC
Molecule: long non-coding RNA, 230 nt
Filed under: Solanum tuberosum (potato)
Lineage: Eukaryota; Viridiplantae; Streptophyta; Magnoliopsida; Solanales; Solanaceae
Description: long non-coding RNA (STUB_LNC006594)
Source: RNAcentral